Non-coding RNA from Peromyscus maniculatus bairdii (prairie deer mouse), 541 nucleotides. NCBI's taxonomy places the organism in Eukaryota, Metazoa, Chordata, Mammalia, Rodentia, Cricetidae. The record is from RefSeq and is a predicted model, not a curated record.
UUAUGUCCCUGUUCUGGAAGCUUCUUUGUUCCAGUUAGCCUCUGUCCCACAGCCACAAUCAACAAAGGCCUCAUCAUGGCAUCUAGAGCCCUACAGCAUAAGGGAAAGAAGAGGAGGCUUUGAACUCAACCCUCUUAGCCUUCUGGCACAUUAUGGGCUCCUCUUGGGACAUCUCUUCAGUGUUCAGGGAGACGCUGCUGGGAGGAUGGCUUUCACUCCCAGAGGAAGAGGGCUCCAGGAUCUGCUCUCCAGAGAACUGCUCACUUCAUUGGAGAAAAGGCUCUGAGAGAGAAAAUGAGCUGUCCUAGGAUAUACAGAUAGGAGAUGGGAAAGCAUGGCUGACCCAAAAGUCAAGCACUCCCACGCUCAUCCCUCGCUUCUGAUCGUCCACAGUCCUACAGCUAUAGAAGAGAGCCUGCAUCCUACCCACAGUUCUACAUCUCUCCGCUGGACAAAUGUGGCAGGCGUUUUAAAAAUUGUAUUGCAAAAUAACUGGAAAUAGUUAAUUUACCACAACUAAGUACACACAUUUGAUAACGUA